GGGCGUAAGCGCGCGCAGGCGGCCUUUUAAGUUGGAUGUGAAAGCCUAUGGCUCAACCAUAGAACUGCAUCCAAAACUAUCAGGCUAGAGUGUGGGAGAGGAAGAUGGAAUUAGUUGUGUAGGGGUAAAAUCCGUAGAGAUAACUAGGAAUACCAAAAGCGAAGGCAAUCUUCUGGAACAUUACUGACGCUGAGGCGCGAAAGCGUGGGGAGCAAACAGGAUUAGAUACCCUGGUAGUCCACGCCCUAAACGAUGAAUGUUAGUCGUCGGGUAGCUAGUCUAUUCGGUGAUGCAGCUAACGCAUUAAACAUUCCGCCUGGGGAGUACGGUCGCAAGAUUAAAACUCAAAGGAAUAGACGGGGACCCGCACAAGUGGUGGAGCAUGUGGUUUAAUUCGAAGAUACGCGAAGAACCUUACCUAGCCUUGACAUAUUUUAGAACACUUUAGAGAUAGAGUGGUGCCUUCGGGAGCUAAUAUACAGGUGCUGCACGGCUGUCGUCAGCUCGUGUCGUGAGAUGUUGGGUUAAGUCCCGCAACGAGCGCAACCCUCGUCACUAGUUACUAACGGUUCGGCCGAGGACUCUAGUGAGACUGCCUUCGCAAGGAGGAGGAAGGUGAGGACGACGUCAAGUCAUCAUGGCCCUUACGGCUAGGGCAACACACGUGCUACAAUGGCCAGGACAAUGAGAAGCGAUACCGCGAGGUGGAG
RNAcentral lists this ribosomal RNA (710 nucleotides) under uncultured bacterium. RNAcentral describes it as "bacterial SSU rRNA". It matches the Rfam family "Bacterial small subunit ribosomal RNA", at positions 556 to 1267 of the family's 1533-position model. The record is from RNAcentral.